This 511-nucleotide unclassified non-coding RNA is filed under the name Bombus terrestris (buff-tailed bumblebee). RNAcentral's name for it is "misc RNA ENSBTSG00005021903.1". The record is from RNAcentral. Lineage: Eukaryota; Metazoa; Arthropoda; Insecta; Hymenoptera; Apidae.
AUUCGUAUAACAUAUGAGCUCGUUAUCCUAAAAUAAAUUCUAAUAUUGUGCUCUAUGCAAAUAUAAAUCUCGAAAUUGUACAUUAUGUACAAAAUUUUCAUAAAAUAUAAAAUACCAAAACUCAAAUUAUAUAUUUACAAAUCGUCACUUUCACCGUUUUCGAAAUUUAUUACACGACUGCAAUAAAUAUAAUAUUUUAACGAACGCAAAUAUUAUUGUAUACACAAAAAUAUAUUUCAUUAUAUCAUGACUUUUGUACGUAUAUUCACUCAGCAUGAAAAAUAAUAAAUUUUCAGCGAGCCGCCUACAUGACGGGACUCCUCGACUCUUUAUCGCCAGUCCGAACUCUUCCUGUUCAAUGGUGCCGUAUCUUACGCUUUGCAGUUACUUCUUGAAGUAAUCGUCUCUUAAAUGGUGAAUGACUACUUCGGAAUCGAGUAGAUUCCUCUUGAGACCGUCGAUGACUACUGGCUUCCGCGAAUGAGUUUCCUUUCAAUUGUUUCUCAUAGAA